Molecule: long non-coding RNA, 1244 nt
Organism: Melanotaenia boesemani (Boeseman's rainbowfish)
Lineage: Eukaryota; Metazoa; Chordata; Actinopteri; Atheriniformes; Melanotaeniidae
Exons: 2
Source: RefSeq, a predicted model, not a curated record
CGGCGAACCUCUACUCAGUGACGACCUGCAGAGCUGUCAGCAUGGACUGAUCACACAUCUUUGUCUGCUGUCACCUAAAACACCUGCCUGAUGGAUCCUGAGGGAUUGCUGUGCUCCAUUUAAAAUCCCCAACUACACCACUGAUGAACAUCUACACUGGGAUUGAUGGGAAAGAUUGGGACAAACACAGAGCCAAGACCAGCCUUGCACGUCCUCAGACCAGCCCACCUUGCAGCAUUCAGAUCUUCCACCGUCAACCUCCGUGACUUCAGCCAAGCUGUUUCACUUUCCAGCCCUGUGCCAGCCUGAUGACCAAGAUCCUUCUGCCUUUAUAAUGUGCCUUACUAUAACUGCUCUGUAUGUAUCAGCCACCAGAGUUCUUAAAGAAAGCUUUUGUUUUUGCCUUUUUCAUGUUUCUUUGUAUCUGGAUGUUUUACUAAAAGACACACGCAUGAAUCGUCUGAACUGAAAAAAAUCGACUAACUGAAAGAAAUGAGUGAGAAUUUGUUUAUUGUUGUUUUAUUUAUGUCAGCUUUAGGUGACGGUGACACUGUUGUUUACCAAAUUGUAUUAAAAUGAAUAUAACUCCACAUCUGUUUGGCACAGUUAACCCUACACCUGAGUUUAGUUACCAGGAUGUUUUACUUUGAGGAUGACUCUAGUUUUUAUCCACAAUUGAAACUUUAAGAAGACGUGUUUAGAGUCGCAUAGAGUAACAAAGAGCCAGAGUUCACAAAGUGUGCUCAGAGUCCACUUUUGAAUAGGUUCAGGUUACCUCUCUCUAUACCUGUGAAAGGCAGCCAUUGCACUGGCUGCACAUGAAGGAGAAUAAGGAAUGUCAGUAAUAUUUGUUCUAAACUCAGUUUUUAUUGAAUCCUUCUCUCUGGAAAAUAAAUAUUCAUGUUCUGAUCCAUGUUGAAAAAGUCAUGGAUGGACACAGUAGCAACAUAAUUGUGCUAAGUGAUCAUAUAUUCACUACAAAUGUCCAUUUUGUUUGGGGAUUUAACAUAAAUGAACUAAACAUAAGUUGAAGUAUUUGUUUGUUUUGCGUUUGUUUAUGUUUUUUAUUUCUCACUAAAAUGCCAUGUUCAAAGUUGUCCAUAAUAUUCUUCAGUAAUGAAUAACAAUCCCUUCUGCUUUUUGCACGUCUUUACCUGAAUUUUAAACCUCUUUGGCAACUGUAUCCUUGUCUUUGAGGUUGGAAAGUGUUCAUGUGAUGUGAAUAAAGAAAAUAUAGAAUCCUG